RNAcentral lists this ribosomal RNA (503 nucleotides) under uncultured bacterium. RNAcentral's name for it is "partial 16S ribosomal RNA". It matches the Rfam family "Bacterial small subunit ribosomal RNA", at positions 30 to 523 of the family's 1533-position model. The record is from RNAcentral.
AUUGAACGCUGGCGGCAGGCUUAACACAUGCAAGUCGAGCGGGGUGAUGGUGCUUGCACUAUCACUUAGCGGCGGACGGGUGAGUAAUGCUUAGGAAUCUGCCUAUUAGUGGGGGACAACAUCUCGAAAGGGAUGCUAAUACCGCAUACGUCCUACGGGAGAAAGCAGGGGAUCACUUGUGACCUUGCGCUAAUAGAUGAGCCUAAGUCUGAUUAGCUAGUUGGUGGGGUAAAGGCCUACCAAGGCGACGAUCUGUAGCGGGUCUGAGAGGAUGAUCCGCCACACUGGGACUGAGACACGGCCCAGACUCCUACGGGAGGCAGCAGUGGGGAAUAUUGGACAAUGGGGGGAACCCUGAUCCAGCCAUGCCGCGUGUGUGAAGAAGGCCUUAUGGUUGUAAAGCACUUUAAGCGAGGAGGAGGCUCUUUUGGUUAGUACCCAAGAUGAGUGGACGUUACUCGCAGAAUAAGCACCGGCUAACUCUGUGCCAGCCGCCGCGGUAA